GGCAGCCAGCUCCCCGCAGGUACCCGGGGAAAGGAGAGUGGAGGGCAAGGCAAGCGUCAGGUAGUUAACACCCCCAACAGGCUUUCCAGGGACAGACAGGCAGUAACACAGUGACAGGGGAGAGGUGUGGAUGCUCCAGUCACUUUCCAUCAGCACAGGAUAUCGCUUUCGAUCUUCCUCAUUCCUGUCGUGAUCCUUGUACCAAAAUGUCUUUUCUGCAACUUCAGAGCGUUGUGUAAUUUCUAAUUCAUAUCAGAGGCUGUCUUGAGGUUGGCCGCCCUGAGUUGCGUUUGUAAAGACUCCUUUCCCAGUGAAAGAAUGUGCGUUUUCCCAGCUUUGUCAACGUGGGAUGGAUACAGGUAUCUGGGUCACUUGCUUGCGCCAGUGGCCUAGGUGGGGAGGACAUUAAUAAACCCUGGCCUCAAAUGCAAAUCUUACCCAAGAAAAAUAAGAAUGGCCAUGAGAAUGAAAAAAGAUAGCCGCCUCCUCUCGCUCAUCCGCCGCUCGGUCUACAUCAGGUUCACGGAUCGUCUCCCCAACAGUGUUUUUGUUCUUUCUUCUCGUCCCCAGGUCGGAAGAUAUAAUUUACAGCCUCCAGAAGUCUCGCCGAGCCUGAUUGGAUGGUGUCCAGCUUUGCCGGAAUCAGGGAGGACACCACGGGUUAGCCCAAGAUGAAGACAAGACGGAGAGGCGGCUGGGCCCCAGGCGGGUGUGACAGCCCACGGGGGGACAGGAUGCAACCGUGACCGCCUACAUGCAGGACCCAUCAGCCCCGAGAGCCCUGAAACUCCCCAAGGGAGCGGAGUGCCAAAGGCCCCCAAACUGACCAAAGUCACCGGCCCUGGUCCUGCAUCCGGUGGGGACUUCCGGCGUCUUCCUCGCAGCCUC
This 888-nucleotide long non-coding RNA is filed under the name Sus scrofa (pig). RNAcentral describes it as "lncRNA (ENSSSCG00070001538.1)". Lineage: Eukaryota; Metazoa; Chordata; Mammalia; Artiodactyla; Suidae. The record is from RNAcentral.